GACGUAGGAGGCGAGCGUUGUCCGGAGUUACUGGGCGUAAAGCGCGCGCAGGCGGUCACGCAGGUCAUCUGUUAAAGCACCCGGCUCAACCGGGUUGUUGCGGGUGAAACCGCGUGACUUGAGGGUGGGAGAGGUCGGUGGAAUUCCCGGUGUAGUGGUGGAAAUGCGUAGAGAUCGGGAGGAACACCAGUGGCGAAGGCGGCUUCCUGGACGACCAACUGACGCCUGAGACGCGAAAGCGUGGGGAGCAAACAGGAUUGAGAA
Molecule: ribosomal RNA, 264 nt
Filed under: uncultured bacterium
Lineage: Bacteria
Description: partial 16S ribosomal RNA
Rfam family: Bacterial small subunit ribosomal RNA
Source: RNAcentral